GAUGAACGCUGGCGGCGUGCCUAAUACAUGCAAGUCGAGCGAACAGACGCGGUGCUUGCUCCUCUGCCGUUAGCGCCCGGCGGGAGAGUAACAUGUGUAUCACCUAACUCUAAGCCCGGGAUACCUUCGGGAUACCGGUGCUACUAUCGGACAAUUUAUUGACCCUCUUGGCUCGUUAGUGCUAGAUGGUUUUGCUUUGCCUUAUAGCUGGAUCCGAGCCCCUUUAGCUAGUUGGUAAGGGAACGGCUUACCAAGGCAUGGAUGCGUAGCCGGCCUGAGCGAGUGAUCGGCCACACGGGAACGGAGACACGGUCCAGACUCCGGCGGUAGGCAGCAGAAGGGAAUCUUCCGCGAAGGGGGAAAGCCUAACAGUGCAACGCCGCGUAAGUGAUGAAGAUCUUCGGAUCGUAAAACUCUGUUAUUAGUGAAGAACAAAAGUGUAAGUAACUAUGCACGUCUUGACGGUACCUAAUCAGAAAGCCACGGCUAACUACGUG
This 497-nucleotide ribosomal RNA is filed under the name uncultured bacterium. Its description in RNAcentral is "partial 16S ribosomal RNA". It matches the Rfam family "Bacterial small subunit ribosomal RNA", at positions 28 to 507 of the family's 1533-position model. The record is from RNAcentral.